RNAcentral lists this ribosomal RNA (253 nucleotides) under uncultured bacterium. Its description in RNAcentral is "partial 16S ribosomal RNA". It matches the Rfam family "Bacterial small subunit ribosomal RNA", at positions 524 to 776 of the family's 1533-position model. The record is from RNAcentral.
UACGUAGGGGGCUAGCGUUGUCCGGAAUCAUUGGGCGUAAAGCGCGCGUAGGCGGCCCGGUAAGUCCGCUGUAAAAGUCCAGGGCUCAACCCUGGAACGCCGGUGGAUACUGUCGGGCUAGAGUCCGGAAGAGGCGAGUGGAAUUCCCGGUGUAGCGGUGAAAUGCGUAGAGAUCGGGAGGAACACCAGUGGCGAAGGCGGCCCCCUGGGCCGGGCCUGACGCUGAGACGCGAAAGCGCGGGGAGCGAACGGG